CGGAGAAUGUUAUCACGGGAGACACACGGCGGGUGCUAACGUCCGUCGUGAAGAGGGAAACAACCCAGACCGCCAGCUAAGGUCCCAAAGUCAUGGUUAAGUGGGAAACGAUGUGGGAAGGCCCAGACAGCCAGGAUGUUGGCUUAGAAGCAGCCAUCAUUUAAAGAAAGCGUAAUAGCUCACUGGUCGAGUCGGCCUGCGCGGAAGAUGUAACGGGGCUAAACCAUGCACCGAAGCUGCGGCAGCGACGCUGAUGCGUUGUUGGGUAGGGGAGCGUUCUGUAAGCCUGCGAAGGUGUGCUGUGAGGCAUGCUGGAGGUAUCAGAAGUGCGAAUGCUGACAUAAGUAACGAUAAAGCGGGUGAAAAGCCCGCUCGCCGGAAGACCAAGGGUUCCUGUCCAACGUUAAUCGGGGCAGGGUGAGUCGACCCCUAAGGCGAGGCCGAAAGGCGUAGUCGAUGGGAAACAGGUUAAUAUUCCUGUACUUGGUGUUACUGCGAAGGGGGGACGGAGAAGGCUAUGUUGGCCGGGC
RNAcentral lists this ribosomal RNA (530 nucleotides) under Escherichia coli IS25. RNAcentral describes it as "LSU rRNA". It matches the Rfam family "Bacterial large subunit ribosomal RNA", at positions 963 to 1496 of the family's 2925-position model. The record is from RNAcentral. Lineage: Bacteria; Pseudomonadati; Pseudomonadota; Gammaproteobacteria; Enterobacterales; Enterobacteriaceae.